Non-coding RNA from Pelobates cultripes (western spadefoot toad), 376 nucleotides. The record is from the annotation of a GenBank genome assembly. NCBI's taxonomy places the organism in Eukaryota, Metazoa, Chordata, Amphibia, Anura, Pelobatidae.
UUUAUAAUUAUUUAACAAAAUCGGCAUACUGAAAUUCAGCAUGGCAAAAAAACAAAACAAAAAUAACAGGGUUGAGGACAUGUAAUAGCCCAUUACAGAAUGUCAACAUAUUAGACCAAUCAGAUUCAAAUAUUUAAAAGCUUUAGAUAAAAUCGGGCACUUAUGCAGGAUUCAUGACCCUGGUACCUUUGCUGAUGGAAUAAAGUGGAGACAGCAGCAGUUGUGUAAGCCAUCAAAAAACACAAAUUAUAUAUACUGUACACUGUUCGUUAUCUAUUACCUUACAAGUGAUACAGGUAGUAAUCUUGUAUACAAUGGUGGAACACUAUUGUGAUAGAAAUCAAACAAAUUGCUUACCCUUAUUGUAGUGUACAAC